CAGUAGCCACGGUAAUACGGAGGGUGCAAGCGUUAUCCGGAUUUAUUGGGUUUAAAGGGUCCGUAGGCGGACUUAUAAGUCAGUGGUGAAAGCCUGUCGCUUAACGAUAGAACUGCCAUUGAUACUGUAAGUCUUGAGUAUAUUUGAGGUAGCUGGAAUAAGUAGUGUAGCGGUGAAAUGCAUAGAUAUUACUUAGAACACCAAUUGCGAAGGCAGGUUACCAAGAUAUAACUGACGCUGAGGGACGAAAGCGUGGGUAGCGAACAGGAUUAGAUACCCGAGUAGUCCCUGUCUCUUAUAA
Molecule: ribosomal RNA, 301 nt
Filed under: uncultured bacterium
Lineage: Bacteria
Description: partial 16S ribosomal RNA
Rfam family: Bacterial small subunit ribosomal RNA
Source: RNAcentral